RNAcentral lists this ribosomal RNA (506 nucleotides) under uncultured bacterium. RNAcentral's name for it is "partial 16S ribosomal RNA". It matches the Rfam family "Bacterial small subunit ribosomal RNA", at positions 30 to 523 of the family's 1533-position model. The record is from RNAcentral.
AUUGAACGCUGGCGGCAGGCCUAACACAUGCAAGUCGAACGGCAGCACAGAAGAGCUUGCUCUUUGGGUGGCGAGUGGCGGACGGGUGAGUAAUGUCUGGGAAACUGCCCGAUGGAGGGGGAUAACUACUGGGAACGGUAGCUAAUACCGCAUAACGUCGCGAGACCAAAGUGGGGGACCUUCGGGCCUCACACCAUCGGAUGUGCCCAGAUGGGAUUAGCUAGUAGGUGGGGUAAUGGCUCACCUAGGCGACGAUCCCUAGCUGGUCUGAGAGGAUGACCAGCCACACUGGAACUGAGACACGGUCCAGACUCCUACGGGAGGCAGCAGUGGGGAAUAUUGCACAAUGGGCGCAAGCCUGAUGCAGCCAUGCCGCGUGUAUGAAGAAGGCCUUCGGGUUGUAAAGUACUUUCAGCGGGGAGGAAGGCGGUGAGGUUAAUAACCUUGCCGAUUGACGUUACCCGCAGAAGAAGCACCGGCUAACUCCGUGCCAGCAGCCGCAGUAA